GAUGAACGCUGGCGGCGUGCCUAAUACAUGCAAGUCGAGCGAACAGACGAGGAGCUUGCUCCUCUGACGUUAGCGGCGGACGGGUGAGUAACACGUGGAUAACCUACCUAUAAGACUGGGAUAACUUCGGGAAACCGGAGCUAAUACCGGAUAAUAUAUUUAACCGCAUGGUUCAAUAGUGAAAGACGGUUUUGCUGUCACUUAUAGAUGGAUCCGCGCCGCAUUAGCUAGUUGGUAAGGUAACGGCUUACCAAGGCAACGAUGCGUAGCCGACCUGAGAGGGGGAUCGGCCACACUGGAACUGAGACACGGUACAGACUCCUAGGGGAGGAAGCAGUAGGGAAGCUUCCGAAAUGGGCGAAAGCCUGACGGAGCAACGCCGCGUGAGUGAUGAAGGGCUUCGGAUCGUAAAACGCUGUUAUUAGGGAAGAACAAAUGUGUAAGUAACGAUGCACGUCUGGACGGUACCUAAUCAGAAAGCCACGGCUAACUACGU
RNAcentral lists this ribosomal RNA (496 nucleotides) under uncultured bacterium. RNAcentral describes it as "partial 16S ribosomal RNA". It matches the Rfam family "Bacterial small subunit ribosomal RNA", at positions 28 to 506 of the family's 1533-position model. The record is from RNAcentral.